This 1236-nucleotide ribosomal RNA is filed under the name metagenome. Its description in RNAcentral is "bacterial LSU rRNA". It matches the Rfam family "Bacterial large subunit ribosomal RNA", at positions 1564 to 2808 of the family's 2925-position model. The record is from RNAcentral.
UGAGUACGAGAUGCUACGGCAUCGAAGCAGUCUAUGUCAUACUUCCAAGAAAAGCUUGCAAUGUCAUAAACAAAUAAUGCCUGUACCAUAACCGACACAGGUGGGUAGGUAGAGUAUACUAAGGGGCGCGAGAUAACUCUCUCUAAGGAACUCGGCAAAAUGACUCCGUAACUUCGGGAGAAGGAGUGCCUUAUUUUUAUAAGGUUGCAAUAACAAGAUCCAAGCAACUGUUUACCAAAAACACAGGUCUCCGCUAAGUCGUAAGACGAUGUAUGGGGGCUGACGCCUGCCCAGUGCCAGAAGGUUAAAGAAGUUGGUUAGCAUUAGCGAAGCUGAUAACUGAAGCCCUGGUGAACGGCGGCCGUAACUAUAACGGUCCUAAGGUAGCGAAGUUCCUUGUCGGGUAAGUUCCGACCCGCACGAAAGGCGUAAUGAUUUGGAUACUGUCUCGGAGAGGGGCUCGGUGAAAUAGACUUGUCUGUGAAGAUGCGGACUACCUGCACCUGGACAGAAAGACCCUAUGAAGCUUUACUGUAACUUGAGAUUGAAAUUGGACUUUAUCUGCGCAGUAUAGGUGGGAGACGUUGAAAAUAUUCUUGCGGGAAUAUUGGAGUCAUCAGUGAGAUACCACUCUUAUAAUGUUAGAUUUCUAACUUUGUAUCAUUAUCUGGUCAAAGAACAGUUUCAGGCGGGCAGUUUGACUGGGGCGGUCGCCUCCCAAACGGUAACGGAGGCGCACAAAGGUUUCCUCUGAACGUGUAGAAAUCGUAUCUAGAGUGUAAAGGCAUAAGGAAGCUUGACUGUGAGACCUACAAGUCGAGCAGGGACGAAAGUCGGUCUUAGUGAUCUGACGGUGCUGAGUGGAAAGGCCGUCACUCAACGGAUAAAAGUUACUCUAGGAUAACAGGCUGAUCUCCCCCAAGAGUUCACAUCGACGGGGAGGUUUGGCACCUCGAUGUCGGCUCAUCGCAUCCUGGGGCGGUAGUACGUCCCAAGGGUUGGGCUGUUCGCCCAUGAAAGCGGUACGCGAGCUGGGUUCAGAACGUCGUGAGACAGUUCGGUCCAUAUCCGGUGUAGGCGUUAGAAUAUUGAGAGGAGCCUUCUUUAGUACGAGAGGACCGAGAAGGACAUACCUCUGGUGUACCAGUUAUCGUGCCAACGGUAAACGCUGGGUAGCCAUGUAUGGAGAGGAUAACCGCUGAAAGCAUCUAAGUGGGAAGCCCACCUCAAGAUAAG